UACAGAGGGGGCAAGCGUUGUUCGGAAUUACUGGGCGUAAAGGGCGCGUAGGUGGCCUUCUAAGUUGAACGUGAAAUCCCUGGGCUCAACCCAGGAACUGCGUCCAAGACUGGGAGGCUUGAAUCCGGGAGAGGGAUGCGGAAUUCCAGGUGUAGCGGUGAAAUGCGUAGAUAUUCGCAAGAACACCAGUGGCGAAGGCGGCUCACUGGCCCGGUACUGACGCUGAGGUGCGAAAGCGUGGGGAGCAAACAGG
RNAcentral lists this ribosomal RNA (253 nucleotides) under uncultured bacterium. Its description in RNAcentral is "partial 16S ribosomal RNA". It matches the Rfam family "Bacterial small subunit ribosomal RNA", at positions 524 to 776 of the family's 1533-position model. The record is from RNAcentral.